RNAcentral lists this ribosomal RNA (532 nucleotides) under uncultured bacterium. Its description in RNAcentral is "bacterial SSU rRNA". It matches the Rfam family "Bacterial small subunit ribosomal RNA", at positions 355 to 896 of the family's 1533-position model. The record is from RNAcentral.
UGGGGAAUAUCUGCACAAUGGGCGGAAGCCUGAUGCAGCAACGCCGCGUGCGGGAUGACGGCCUUCGGGUUGUAAACCGCUUUCGCCUGUGACGAAGCGUGAGUGACGGUAAUGGGUAAAGAAGCACCGGCUAACUACGUGCCAGCAGCCGCGGUGAUACGUAGGGUGCGAGCGUUGUCCGGAUUUAUUGGGCGUAAAGGGCUCGUAGGUGGUUGAUCGCGUCGGAAGUGUAAUCUUGGGGCUUAACCCUGAGCGUGCUUUCGAUACGGGUUGACUUGAGGAAGGUAGGGGAGAAUGGAAUUCCUGGUGGAGCGGUGGAAUGCGCAGAUAUCAGGAGGAACACCAGUGGCGAAGGCGGUUCUCUGGGCCUUUCCUGACGCUGAGGAGCGAAAGCGUGGGGAGCGAACAGGCUUAGAUACCCUGGUAGUCCACGCUGUAAACGGUGGGCACUAGGUGUGGGGUCCAUUCCACGGGUUCCAUGCCGUAGCUAACGCUUUAAGUACCCCGCCUGGGGAGUACGGCCGCAAGGCUA